RNAcentral lists this ribosomal RNA (504 nucleotides) under uncultured bacterium. Its description in RNAcentral is "partial 16S ribosomal RNA". It matches the Rfam family "Bacterial small subunit ribosomal RNA", at positions 355 to 875 of the family's 1533-position model. The record is from RNAcentral.
UGGGGAAUAUUGCACAAUGGGCGAAAGCCUGAUGCAGCAACGCCGCGUGAGUGAUGAAGGUCUUCGGAUUGUAAAGCUCUGUCUUUUGGGACGAUAAUGACGGUACCAAAGGAGGAAGCCACGGCUAACUACGUGCCAGCAGCCGCGGUAAUACGUAGGUGGCGAGCGUUGUCCGGAUUUACUGGGCGUAAAGGGUGCGUAGGCGGAUGUUUAAGUGAGAUGUGAAAUACCCGGGCUUAACUUGGGUGCUGCAUUUCAAACUGGAUAUCUAGAGUGCAGGAGAGGAGAAUGGAAUUCCUAGUGUAGCGGUGAAAUGCGUAGAGAUUAGGAAGAACACCAGUGGCGAAGGCGAUUCUCUGGACUGUAACUGACGCUGAGGCACGAAAGCGUGGGUAGCAAACAGGAUUAGAUACCCUGGUAGUCCACGCCGUAAACGAUGAGUACUGGGUGUAGGAGGUAUCGACCCCUUCUGUGCCGCAGUAAACACAUUAAGUACUCCGCCUG